RNAcentral lists this ribosomal RNA (276 nucleotides) under Triticum aestivum (bread wheat). RNAcentral describes it as "partial small subunit ribosomal RNA". The record is from RNAcentral. Lineage: Eukaryota; Viridiplantae; Streptophyta; Magnoliopsida; Poales; Poaceae.
AUGGCAGAGGAACUGUCCGCCAAGCGUCAUCAUGCCGAGACGUCGGACAAGAGGAGCAACCUCGUCGACAUUAACGUCCCCGGUGAGAAGCGCGGGUACACCAGAACGCUCAAAGGGGUUGAGCUCCACGGCAAGGAGACGCUGGAGAUCAUCUGCACCAGCGAACCAGACAAGGCCGACGAGGUGAUCUCCAAGCUCUGGAGGAAGCUUGGCGGCAGGAUUCGUAGGAUCAUCGGUGUUGGUGUGCACUACACCAACGAAGAUGAACCUCCCUAG